Molecule: ribosomal RNA, 304 nt
Filed under: uncultured bacterium
Lineage: Bacteria
Description: partial 16S ribosomal RNA
Rfam family: Bacterial small subunit ribosomal RNA
Source: RNAcentral
CAGCAGUAGCCGCGGUAAUACGGAGGGUGCAAGCGUUAAUCGGAAUUACUGGGCGUAAAGCGCACGCAGGCGGUCUGACAAGUCAGAUGUGAAAUCCCCGGGCUUAACCUGGGAACUGCAUUUGAAACUGUCAGGCUGGAGUCUUGUAGAGGGGGGUGGAAUUCCAGGUGUAGCGGUGAAAUGCGUAGAGAUCUGGAGGAAUACCGGUGGCGAAGGCGGCCCCCUGGACAAAGACUGACGCUCAGGUGCGAAAGCGUGGGGAGCAAACAGGAUUAGAUACCCCGGUAGUCCCUGUCUCUUAUCC